UUCAAGCCCCAUUCAAACUACUACCUCUUCCUGACAUCAAUUCUGGAACUUACCAGGCACUAUGAAGUGCACAAUAGCCCGAAGAGCCUCCAGCUGCACG
Long non-coding RNA from Dipodomys spectabilis (banner-tailed kangaroo rat), 100 nucleotides. RefSeq lists it as uncharacterized. The record is from RefSeq and is a predicted model, not a curated record. Lineage: Eukaryota; Metazoa; Chordata; Mammalia; Rodentia; Heteromyidae. The transcript is spliced from 3 exons.